CUCCCCCAACACCUUACCUCCAUGUCAGUAGGGCCCCUGUGUAAUAACAGGAAUAAAACUAAAAGAAGUAAAUGUCUCAGGAGUGUCAAGGGAAAACCCAAAGACAGUGGGGAGAUGAAAACAAGGACACACAGGCUGUUUUAGCCUCUCAUACCAAUAGCUGUAGCAAACUACACACAGCCCAUCCCAGUAGAUAAACAGAAAACCUCACAGAAGAAAUUAUUUAUUUUGGUUCUCUUACCCAGUGCAUUCCAUGGUGCAUCCUCGCCUAGAAUUGAGUGGAAGCAAGUCCAUCUCAGAAGGGACAUAACUGAAGAGGGAUGGCUUUCCAGACUCUGAUGGGCAGCGAGAGCUGCAGCCUGGCAUCUCUGAGCCCGCCCUUGGUGACCUCAGAGAGAUCACCCUAGUGGCCCAGGCUAGUGACCGGGAACAUGUACCUUCCUGCAGCCAACCCCAGACGUCCACUGAUGCAUCAUAUACUGGCAAAGAUCCUGGCCUAGGGGGGCCUUGGCCGCUGGAGAUUCGCCAGAUGUUGGACUCCAGGUAAGCUUGCUCCUGGGAGGUGGGGCGGUUAGGUCAGGGGGCAGCGGCAGCGACAGGGGGGCGGAGCGCGGCUGCCUCUGGCGAACUGUUGGAAUAGCUGCCUUCUCCCGGCUGCCGGGCCUGGGAGCGGCCUCUGCUGCCCCUGGUCACCGUACACGCCUGUCCCGCUCAGCUUGCUGAGUGGGGACGGUGCCAUUAAUGUGCGGGGCCCACGGGGUUAGGGGGGCUGCCGCGCGGAAGCCGGUCAGUUCGCUCAGCUCUCCCCCGCGGCGGAGCCAGUGGCAGCUUCUGCUGCCGUAGAGGCGGGACGCCGGUCUCCAGGUGAGCUUGCCCCUGGGAGGCGGCGGCGGCGGCUGCAGGGGGAGGGGGUCCGUUCCAGGGAGCUGCUCCAUUUCUUCUGUCCCGCGCGGCCUGGCCUGAGGGCGACCUCUGCCGCCGGAGAUUUGCCUGCGGUCCGACUCCAGGUGAGGUUGCACCUGGGAGAUGGGUGCGGUGCAGUCAGGGGGCUGGUAAGGUGGUGGCUGCGGGGAUAGGGAGGCUGCCCCGGGGGAGCUUGUGUAUUAGCUCCCAUGUCUGUGCCGCGUGGCCUGCAGGCGGCCUCUGCUGCGCCAGGUCCCCGGACACCCCUGUCCCACUUUGCCUGCUGGGGG
Camelus dromedarius (Arabian camel) is the source of this 1193-nucleotide long non-coding RNA. RefSeq lists it as uncharacterized. The transcript has 3 exons. The record is from RefSeq and is a predicted model, not a curated record. Lineage: Eukaryota; Metazoa; Chordata; Mammalia; Artiodactyla; Camelidae.